UAGUUUUUUUGAAAAAUUCUGGGCUCUCUCUCUCUCUCUCGUCUCUCUCCUUUCGCAAAAACCAGGUCGGCCAGUUUUGGCCGACGAUCUUGGUGCUCCGGCCACGGCUAGAUGCGUGACUGGUCGGAAAAUGACUAGAGGAGGCCAGCAAACCAUGCUUGAGCCCAGCCUCAUUUCGCCGUCGCGAGCUCCAAGAACCUUCGAGGGUUUCGAGUUUUUCGACACCUUUUUCGACUAUUCCGGCGGCCGUUGUUGCCGAUCCAAAUGUAUUUCCUUUUGCUUUUGCAAUUGUUUUUGGUGAAAUUAUGGACAAUUGGAGGUGGUUUCUGCAAAGGAUAUCGGAUGUCUUGUUGGGCUAUUUUGGAUUCUUUUUUCUUUUUUCUUUUUUUGGAUUUUUUUGUAAGAAAUGAUAUUAACAAUGUAAUUCUAUGACAUGGUAAUAACAAUGUACUUCUAUGA
Molecule: non-coding RNA, 459 nt
Organism: Prunus mume (Japanese apricot)
Lineage: Eukaryota; Viridiplantae; Streptophyta; Magnoliopsida; Rosales; Rosaceae
Source: RefSeq, a predicted model, not a curated record